This 441-nucleotide unclassified non-coding RNA is filed under the name Hevea brasiliensis (rubber tree). Lineage: Eukaryota; Viridiplantae; Streptophyta; Magnoliopsida; Malpighiales; Euphorbiaceae. The record is from RNAcentral.
UCCAGCUUUACAGGGAAUCCAGGGCUAUGUGGUACAAUUCUACAGCGUUCUUGUUCCAAUCCAUCAGUACCUGUCAAUCCUACUGCAACUGAUAAAAGCACAAACAUGAAACUUGUUGUUGGACUAGUACUUGGGGUCUUUUUUGGGACUGGUUUACUUAUCGCCACACUAGCACUGUGGAUAUUGUCCAAGAGAAGGAUCAUUCCAGGAGGGGACUCUGACAACAUAGAGAUGGAUACAAUUUCUAGCAACUCUUAUUCUGGAUUUCAUCCUGGGACUGUCAAGGACACUGACCUAGUUAUAUUGUUCCCAAACAAUACUGAUGAGAUCAGGGAUCUAACCAUAUCUGAGCUCUUAAAAGCCACUGACAAUUUCAAUCAAGCAAAUAUUGUUGGCUGUGGGGGUUUUGGUUUGGUCUAUAAAGCAACACUGGCAAAUGGG